CUGGAACUUAGAAGAACAAGACCUGGGUGUCAAAGGUUUGGUUUACCGUCCUUACUGUGUCUGCAGGGGGUACCCCUCUAUGAGCAUACACCCCUGUGAUCUAGUCAUACUGAAUUGGAGACUCACUUUUUUUUUAUUACCUCAUUAAAUUAAAAUUACGUUUUCCAAGGUCCUCGCUCCCGAGACAGUCACAUUGGAAUGUGGAGAGAGGCUGUACAAUUCAGUCCAUAGUACGAGUUGGCUGGACGGUUUAUACCACUAAUGAGCCCUUUAAAUAACUGCAGCAUGGAGGUAAUUGGAGUAGCCCACAGAACUUCCAAAAGUUCCCCUUAUUUUACGUGAUUGCUAUAGCAAUAUUUCACCCAACCUCCUCUUCUUGUCAUUGCAUGUUUAUUUCUGCCUAUCUGUCUCCAGGGACCCUGAGACCCAGACUCUGACCUUGGUCAUUGCUUCACAGACACCAUAUCCAGAGAACUUGACUCUAACCUGGACUUCCGUUCAUUGCGGUGAGUUUAGGGAGAUGUCAGCGCAUGCAAACAUCUAAGAAUCAAUCACCAUCAGCUGAAGGAUCUGCUAGAAGAGCUGGGGUAGCCGUGUAGCUCAGUGGAGUGUUUUUCUGGCAUACCCAAGGUCAUGUAUUGAUCCUCACCACUGCAUAAACCAGGUACGGUGAUGCACGCGACGGAUGGUGCUGCCUGUAAUCUCAACAUUUGGGAGGUGGACACUGGAGGAUCAGAAAUUCAAAGUCUUCUUCAACUAAAUGGCUAGUUCUAGGAUAGCCUGGGCUAUAUGAGACCCAGUCUCAAAAAAAAAAAAAACCCAAACAGAACAAAACAAACAAACAAACAAAAAACAGUAACAAGAUAUCUGUAAAAUCAAACUUAAAGAUCAAAAUUAAAGACAGUCUUUGUAAGGAAGUCAGGAGGUAGAUAGAAUCUUAGAUGAGAGGAAUUUGAGUUGUAAACAAAAUUAUUGGCAAGAAUUCCCUAGCUAGAUGUGAGAUCCAGAGAAUAAGCAUGACUAAUUUACACAUGAAAUUGGAACAGUAACCACAUUAACCAUUGCCAUUGUGCUUAAACUUGUUGUAUCCAAAACUCAUGAUGAAAUUUUAUCCCGAUGUGAGUGCUGAGAGACUUACAGUACUAACAACCCAGUGGGGAUUUUAAGACAAGAAUUAGAUUAUGAGGGGUUUGGUCUCACAAAUGGAUUAAUUUGUUAAUAGAUACAGAUAUAUAUAAAACAAAUGAGUUUGCUUGAGAAUG
This 1262-nucleotide long non-coding RNA is filed under the name Mus spicilegus (steppe mouse). RNAcentral describes it as "lncRNA (ENSMSIG00000017545.1)". The record is from RNAcentral. Lineage: Eukaryota; Metazoa; Chordata; Mammalia; Rodentia; Muridae.